GGCUUUUUGAAAUUUAUAUAAAGUCUGACCUGCCCAAUGAGAAAUUAAAUGGCCGCGGUAUCUUGACCGUGCAAAGGUAGCAUAAUCAUUAGUUUUUUAAUUGAAAGCUGGAAUGAAAGGUUUGAUAAGAAAAAUACUGUCUCUUAAAAAUUUUAUUAGAAUUUUAUCUUUAAGUUAAAAAGCUUAAAUUUUUUUUAAAGACGAGAAGACCCUUUAGAAUUUUAUAUUAUUAUUUUAAUUUCUUUUUUAGAAUUAAGUAAAUUAAUUAAUUUAAUUGUAUUUGGUUGGGGUGAUUGAAAAAUUUAAUAAACUUUUUUUAAAUUAUUACAUUUAUUUAUGAGUAUAUGAUCCAAUAUUUUUGAUUAUAAGAAUAAAUUACCUAAGGGAUAACAGCGUUAUUUUUUUUGAGAGUUCAAAUCGAAAGAAAAGAUUGCGACCUCGAUGUUGGAUUAAAAUUAAAUUAUGGUGCAGCAGCUAUAACUUUAGGUCUGUUCGACCUUUAAAAUUUUACA
RNAcentral lists this ribosomal RNA (512 nucleotides) under Stelidota octomaculata. Its description in RNAcentral is "partial 16S ribosomal RNA". It matches the Rfam family "Archaeal large subunit ribosomal RNA", at positions 1911 to 2669 of the family's 2987-position model. Lineage: Eukaryota; Metazoa; Arthropoda; Insecta; Coleoptera; Nitidulidae. The record is from RNAcentral.